This 103-nucleotide small nuclear RNA is filed under the name Notamacropus eugenii (tammar wallaby). Lineage: Eukaryota; Metazoa; Chordata; Mammalia; Diprotodontia; Macropodidae. The record is from RNAcentral.
UUUCACUCUGGGAGAAAACAUUCCAAAACUGGAAUGAUAUCAAGAUUUCAUGACCCCUGAACAAGGAUGGCAUGCAAAUUCCUGAACUCUGGUCUCCAUCUUU